CCCAGACUCCUACGGGAGGCAGCAGUGGGGGAUAUUGCACAAUGGGGGGAACCCUGAUGCAGCGACGCCGCGUGGGUGAAGGAGCGUUUCGGCGCGUAAAGCCCUAUCGGCAGGGAAGAAGGAGGACGGUACCUGACUAAGAAGCCUCGGCUAACUACGUGCCAGCAGCCGCGGUAAUACGUAGGGGGCAAGCGUUAUCCGGAUUUACUGGGUGUAAAGGGGGCGCAGACGGCAGCGCAAGCCAGGAGUGAAAGCCCGGGGCCCAACCCCGGGACUGCUCUUGGAACUGCGCGGCUGGAGUGCAGGAGGGGCAGGCGGAAUUCCUGGUGUAGCGGUGAAAUGCGUAGAUAUCAGGAGGAACACCGGUGGCGAAGGCGGCCUGCUGGACUGCGACUGACGUUGAGGCCCGAAAGCGUGGGGAGCAAACAGGAUUAGAUACCCCUGUAC
RNAcentral lists this ribosomal RNA (447 nucleotides) under uncultured bacterium. RNAcentral's name for it is "partial 16S ribosomal RNA". It matches the Rfam family "Bacterial small subunit ribosomal RNA", at positions 330 to 793 of the family's 1533-position model. The record is from RNAcentral.